ACGAAUCGUCUGAUCAAACUUCUGUGCCCUAUUGAAAACUAGAAGUUUGAUAUGAGAUUCGACC
Molecule: microRNA precursor, 64 nt
Filed under: Panagrellus redivivus
Lineage: Eukaryota; Metazoa; Nematoda; Chromadorea; Rhabditida; Panagrolaimidae
Description: microRNA prd-mir-5360 precursor
Source: miRBase by way of RNAcentral